AUCACUUUUCGGCCUUUUGGCUAAAAUCAAGUGCAGUAUCUGUCCUUAUCAGUUUACUACCUGAUACGUCCUCUAUCCAAGGACAAUAAAUUAAGUGGACUUUUGGAGCAGGGAGAUGGAAUAGGAGCUUGCUCCAUCCAUUUCUCACAUUGACCCGGUCUUGCAGAAGUUCCAGGAGCAGCGCAUCAAAA
Molecule: small nuclear RNA, 191 nt
Organism: Pipistrellus kuhlii (Kuhl's pipistrelle)
Lineage: Eukaryota; Metazoa; Chordata; Mammalia; Chiroptera; Vespertilionidae
Product: U2 spliceosomal RNA
Exons: 1
Source: RefSeq, a predicted model, not a curated record